Molecule: long non-coding RNA, 253 nt
Organism: Zalophus californianus (California sea lion)
Lineage: Eukaryota; Metazoa; Chordata; Mammalia; Carnivora; Otariidae
Exons: 2
Source: RefSeq, a predicted model, not a curated record
AUGCCUAUUUGUUUUUUUUAAAAAAUCAUAGAAAAGUAAUGUCUUCUGGAAAUGACUUUGGAAAUGGAAUUGUUAGACCACGUCUAGAAGCGACAUCAGGAUCGACACACGUCCACGUUUGUUCAGUGGGAAAGAAGCAUCUUGGACGUGGAAUUGUUAAGCUGUCUCUGAGAAACGUCAGGACUUUACUAGGUUGGCAGCAGAGGGGCAGAAGGAAGUUUUUUUAAUUUUUAAAAAAAUUUUUAAAAACCUA